ACGAUGUCAACUAGCCGUUGGGACUCUUGAAGUCUUAGUGGCGCAGCUAACGCACUAAGUUGACCGCCUGGGGAGUACGGCCGCAAGGUUAAAACUCAAAUGAAUUGACGGGGGCCCGCACAAGCGGUGGAGCAUGUGGUUUAAUUCGACGCAACGCGAAGAACCUUACCUGGCCUUGACAUGCAGAGAACUUUCCAGAGAUGGAUUGGUGCCUUCGGGAACUCUGACACAGGCGCUGCAUGGCCGUCGUCAGCUCGUGUCGUGAGAUGUUGGGUUAAGUCCCGUAACGAGCGCAACCCCUAUCCCUAGUUGCUAGCAGUUCGGCUGAGAACUCUAGGGAGACUGCCGGUGACAAACCGGAGGAAGGUGGGGAUGACGUCAGGUCAUCUGUAANACGACGGCCAGGGCUACACACGUGCUACAAUGGUGCGUACAGAGGGCUGCAAACCCGCGAGGGGGAGCUAAUCUCACAAAACGCAUCGUAGUCCGGAUCGGAGUCUGCAACUCGACUCCGUGAAGUCGGAAUCGCUAGUAAUCGCGAAUCAGAAUGUCGCGGUGAAUACGUUCCCGGGCCUUGUACACACCGCCCGUCACACCAUGGGAGUGGAUUGCACCAGAAGUGGUUAGUCUAACCUUCGGGAGGA
RNAcentral lists this ribosomal RNA (644 nucleotides) under uncultured bacterium. RNAcentral's name for it is "bacterial SSU rRNA". It matches the Rfam family "Bacterial small subunit ribosomal RNA", at positions 806 to 1450 of the family's 1533-position model. The record is from RNAcentral.